CCCCCGGUAGCUCAGUUAGUUAGAGCGUCUGCAUUACUUGCAGGAGGUCGUAGGUGCAAAUCCUACUCGGGUAA
This 74-nucleotide transfer RNA is filed under the name Vibrio alginolyticus. Its description in RNAcentral is "tRNA-Val". It matches the Rfam family "tRNA". Rfam says of the family: Transfer RNA (tRNA) molecules are approximately 80 nucleotides in length. Their secondary structure includes four short double-helical elements and three loops (D, anti-codon, and T loops). The record is from RNAcentral. Lineage: Bacteria; Pseudomonadati; Pseudomonadota; Gammaproteobacteria; Vibrionales; Vibrionaceae. RNAcentral also lists the same sequence under 2 other names.